This 465-nucleotide ribosomal RNA is filed under the name uncultured bacterium. RNAcentral describes it as "partial 16S ribosomal RNA". It matches the Rfam family "Bacterial small subunit ribosomal RNA", at positions 28 to 507 of the family's 1533-position model. The record is from RNAcentral.
GACGAACGCUGGCGGCGUGCUUAACACAUGCAAGUCGAACGGAAAGGCCCUGCUUGCAGGGUACUCGAGUGGCGAACGGGUGAGUAACACGUGGGUGAUCUGCCCUGCACUUCGGGAUAAGCUUGGGAAACUGGGUCUAAUACCGGAUAGGAGCCAUCUUUAGUGUGGUGGUUGGAAAGUUUUUUCGGUGUAGGAUGAGCUCGCGGCCUAUCAGCUUGUUGGUGGGGUAAUGGCCUACCAAGGCGGCGACGGGUAGCCGGCCUGAGAGGGUGUACGGCCACAUUGGGACUGAGAUACGGCCCAGACUCCUACGGGAGGCAGCAGUGGGGAAUAUUGCACAAUGGGCGCAAGCCUGAUGCAGCGACGCCGCGUGGGGGAUGAAGGCCUUCGGGUUGUAAACUCCGUUCGCUAGGGACGAAGCUUUUUGUGACGGUACCUAGAUAAGAAGCACCGGCUAACUACGUG